CAGGCCUAACACAUGCAAGUCGAGCGCCCCCACUCUGUUUUUGACUUUGUCGAAGACGGGGUGGGGGAGCGGCGAACGGGUGAGUAACACGUUGGAACCUACCCCAGACUCAGGGAUAGCCCGCCGAAAGGCGGAUUAAUACCGGAUAGUUCCCGACUUUGUCGGGAUAAAGCUUUUGCGGUCUGGGAGGGGCCUGCGGCCUAUCAGCUUGUUGGUAAGGUAAAAGCUUACCAAGGCUAUGACGGGUAUCUGGUGUGAGAGCAUGACCAGACACAAUGGAACUGAGACACGGUCCAUACUCCUACGGGAGGCAGCAGUGAGGAAUCUUCCGCAAUGGGCGAAAGCCUGACGGAGCGACACCGCGUGAAGGAUGAAGGCCUUUUGGUUGUAAACUUCUUUUCUGGGGGAAUAACUGAUGAAGGUACCCCAGGAAUAAGCACCGGCUAACUACGUGCCAGCAGCCGCGGUAAUACGUAGGGUGCAAGCGUUAUCCGGAAUCAUUGGGCGUAAAGCGUUCGUAGGUGGCUAAACAAGUUUGCGGUUAAAUCCGGUCGCUCAACGAUCGAAUCGUCGCGAAAACUAUUUAGCUUGAGAACAGCAGAGGCAACUGGAAUUCCACAUGUAGGGGUAAAAUCCGUUGAUAUGUGGAGGAACACCAAAAGCGAAGGCAGGUUGCUGGGCUGUUUCUGACACUGAGGAACGAAAGCGUGGGUAGCGAACAGGAUUAGAUACCCUGGUAGUCCACGCCGUAAACGAUGGAUACUCGAUGUGGGAGGGAAUCGACCCCCUCCUGUGUCCAAGCUAACGCGUUAAGUAUCCCGCCUGGGGAGUACGGUCGCAAGAUUAAAACUCAAAGGAAUAGACGGGGACCCACACAAGCGGUGGAGCAUGUGGUUUAAUUCGACAAUAAACGGGGAACCUUACCAA
RNAcentral lists this ribosomal RNA (927 nucleotides) under uncultured bacterium. Its description in RNAcentral is "bacterial SSU rRNA". It matches the Rfam family "Bacterial small subunit ribosomal RNA", at positions 43 to 977 of the family's 1533-position model. The record is from RNAcentral.